ACUACGGGAGGCAGCAGUGAGGAAUAUUGGUCAAUGGGCGCGAGCCUGAACCAGCCAAGUAGCGUGAAGGAUGACUGCCCUACGGGUUGUAACCUUCUGUUAUAAAGGAAUAAAGUGAGGCACGGGUGCAUUUUUGGAUGUAAUUUAUGAAUAAGGAUCGGCUAAAGCCGUGCAAGCAGCCGCGGUAAUACGGCGGAUCCGAGCUUUAUCCGGCUUUAUUGGGGUGAAAGGGGGCGUAGAUGUGUUGUUAAGUCAGUUGUGUAAGUUUGCGGCUCAACCGGAAAAUUUCAAUUGAUACUGGCAGCCUUGCGUACAGUUGAGGUCGUCUGACUUCGUGGUGUAGCGGUGAAAUGCUUAGCUAUCAC
This 365-nucleotide ribosomal RNA is filed under the name uncultured bacterium. RNAcentral describes it as "partial 16S ribosomal RNA". It matches the Rfam family "Bacterial small subunit ribosomal RNA", at positions 338 to 700 of the family's 1533-position model. The record is from RNAcentral.